ACAGUCAAAUCCCUCGUUGACCGCGCCCCACUUUUUUUCAUCUUUCUCUUUCUUCCAAUUAUAUAAACCGCAUACUCUUCAUUCAUAUUUUAUAAAACACCAAUUCAAAAAAUCGUAUCAGCACCUAUGGCUGUGAAAGAUAAGGCUGUGAAAGGAGGUAAUGUGAAAGUGAAUCAUGGAGUUAAGGAAGUUCACUACAGAGGUGUAAGGAAGAGGCCAUGG
This 222-nucleotide unclassified non-coding RNA is filed under the name Hevea brasiliensis (rubber tree). Lineage: Eukaryota; Viridiplantae; Streptophyta; Magnoliopsida; Malpighiales; Euphorbiaceae. The record is from RNAcentral.